AUUGAACGCUGGCGGAAUGCUUUACACAUGCAAGUCGAACGGCAGCACGGGGGCAACCCUGGUGGCGAGUGGCGAACGGGUGAGUAAUACAUCGGAACGUGCCCGGGCGUGGGGGAUAACGUAACGAAAGUUACGCUAAUACCGCAUACGAUCUGAGGAUGAAAGCGGGGGACCUUCGGGCCUCGCGCGAUCGGAGCUGCCGAUGUCAGAUUAGGUAGUUGGUGUGGUAAAGGCCUACCAAGCCGACGAUCUGUAGCUGGUCUGAGAGGACGACCAGCCACACUGGGACUGAGACACGGCCCAGACUCCUACGGGAGGCAGCAGUGGGGAAUUUUGGACAAUGGGCGCAAGCCUGAUCCAGCCAUUCCGCGUGCAGGACGAAGGCCUUCGGGUUGUAAAAUGCUUUUGUAUGGAACGAAAAGGCUCUGGCUAAUACCUGGGGCUCAUGACGGUACCGUAAGAAUAAGCACCGGCUAACUACGUG
RNAcentral lists this ribosomal RNA (484 nucleotides) under uncultured bacterium. RNAcentral's name for it is "partial 16S ribosomal RNA". It matches the Rfam family "Bacterial small subunit ribosomal RNA", at positions 30 to 507 of the family's 1533-position model. The record is from RNAcentral.